CGGCGGACGGGUGAGUAACACGUGGGUAACCUACCUAUAAGACUGGGAUAACUUCGGGAAACCGGAGCUAAUACCGGAUAAUAUUUCGAACCNCAUGGUUCGAUAGUGAAAGAUGGUUUUGCUAUCACUUAUAGAUGGACCUGCGCCGUAUUAGCUAGUUGGUAAGGUAACGGCUUACCAAGGCGACGAUACGUAGCCGACCUGAGAGGGUGAUCGGCCACACUGGAACUGAGACACGGUCCAGACUCCUACGGGAGGCAGCAGCG
RNAcentral lists this ribosomal RNA (266 nucleotides) under uncultured Staphylococcus sp. Its description in RNAcentral is "partial 16S ribosomal RNA". It matches the Rfam family "Bacterial small subunit ribosomal RNA", at positions 96 to 356 of the family's 1533-position model. The record is from RNAcentral. Lineage: Bacteria; Bacillati; Bacillota; Bacilli; Caryophanales; Staphylococcaceae.